CAGCUAGUUGGCGGGGUAACGGCCCACCAAGGCUUAGAUCGGUAGCCGGCCUGAGAGGGCGCACGGCCACACUGGAACUGAAACACGGUCCAGACUCCUACGGGAGGCAGCAGUGGGGAAUUUUGCGCAAUGGGGGAAACCCUGACGCAGCAACGCCGCGUGGAGGAUGAAGUCCCUUGGGACGUAAACUCCUUUCGACCCGGACGAUAAUGACGGUACGGGUGGAAGAAGCCCCGGCUAACUUCGUGCCAGCAGCCGCGGUAAUACGAGGGGGGCAAGCGUUGUUCGGAAUUAUUGGGCGUAAAGGGCGCGUAGGCGGUGCGGUAAGUCACCUGUGAAACCU
Molecule: ribosomal RNA, 343 nt
Filed under: uncultured Acidobacteriota bacterium
Lineage: Bacteria; Pseudomonadati; Acidobacteriota
Description: SSU rRNA
Rfam family: Bacterial small subunit ribosomal RNA
Source: RNAcentral